GGCGGCGUGCCUAACACAUGCAAGUCGAACGAAGACAUACCGACGGAAUCCUUCGGGAGGAAGAUGGUAUGGACUGAGUGGCGGACGGGUGAGUAACGCGUGGGUAACCUGCCCUGUACAGGGGGACAACAGUUAGAAAUGACUGCUAAUACCGCAUAAGCGCACAGUACCGCAUGGUACAGUGCGAAAAACUCCGGUGGUACAGGAUGGGCCCGCGUCUGAUUAGUUAGUUGGCGGGGUAACGGCCCACCAAGACGACGAUCAGUAGCCGGCUUGAGAGAGUGAACGGCCACAUUGGGAGUGAGACACGGCCCAAACUCCUACGGGAGGCAGCAGUGGGGAAUAUUGCACAAUGGGGGAAACCCUGAUGCAGCAACGCCGCGUGAGUGAAGAAGUAUUUCGGUAUGUAAAGCUCUAUCAGCAGGGAAGAAAAUGACGGUACCUGACUAAGAAGCCCCGGCUAACUACGUGCCAGCAGCCGCGGUAAUACGUAGGGGGCAAGCGUUAUCCGGAUUUACUGGGUGUAAAGGGAGCGCAGGCGGUGCGGCAAGUCAGAUGUGAAAACCCGGGGCUCAACCCCGGGACUGCAUUUGAAACUGUCGGACUAGAGU
This 611-nucleotide ribosomal RNA is filed under the name uncultured Lachnospiraceae bacterium. RNAcentral's name for it is "bacterial SSU rRNA". It matches the Rfam family "Bacterial small subunit ribosomal RNA", at positions 38 to 647 of the family's 1533-position model. Lineage: Bacteria; Bacillati; Bacillota; Clostridia; Lachnospirales; Lachnospiraceae. The record is from RNAcentral.